ACGCAAGCUAUGAAAGGAUCUAGUAGUUCGCUAUCCCUGUUGAAGAGAGCCGAUGGUUGGUGGGAAUCGGUACAAAUAGUUGAAUGAAUUACCUCCUGGAGCUUUUGCUGUGAACGUUAUUUGUAGCAGCAAACGGAAGAACCGUUAUCGAAAUGAAGUGGAGAAAUAGAUUCUCAAGCUUGGGUGGUACCGCGCUUAAUAGCGUCCCUGCA
This 212-nucleotide non-coding RNA is filed under the name Bacillus sp. (in: firmicutes). Its description in RNAcentral is "Bacillus sp. T-box sequence". It matches the Rfam family "T-box leader". From Rfam's summary of the family: Uncharged tRNA acts as the effector for transcription antitermination of genes in the T-box leader family. T-boxes are found upstream of many aminoacyl-tRNA synthetase genes and some amino acid biosynthetic genes usually in Gram-positive bacteria. Lineage: Bacteria; Bacillati; Bacillota; Bacilli; Caryophanales; Bacillaceae. The record is from RNAcentral.